This 361-nucleotide long non-coding RNA is filed under the name Ictidomys tridecemlineatus (thirteen-lined ground squirrel). RNAcentral describes it as "lncRNA (ENSSTOG00000034768.1)". The record is from RNAcentral. Lineage: Eukaryota; Metazoa; Chordata; Mammalia; Rodentia; Sciuridae.
GCUGGGGCCGGAGCCGCGGCGGGGGUGGGGGUUGUUCGGCUCCGUCGUAAUCCGCGCGCGGGCGACUAGCCUUCUGCCCUUCGGAGGCUGGCUGAGAGCAAGAAUGGCCGAGGAGUCAGAAAAAGAAGAGGAGAUAUUGCUAUUUCAGGCUGUCCCUUUCCCCAAAUCACCAGACCUCUCUGACUGCAGCUGUCAAAACUGGUCCAAAGAGGGUGGAAUGAGAUGGACACCAUUUCCUUAAGUACAUGUAUGAAGCCACAAAUGGUGUGAAUAUACUUUGUAUGCAACUAGAGAUAUGAAAAAUUAUGCUGUAUAUGUGUAAUGUAAGUGUAAUACAUUUUUCUGUCAUAUAUAACAAAUU